UACGUAUGGUGCAAGCGUUAUCCGGAUUUACUGGGCGUAAAGGGGGCGCAGACGGCGAUGCAAGCCAGGAGUGAAAGCCCGGGGCCCAACCCCGGGACUGCUCUUGGAACUGCGUGGCUGGAGUGCAGGAGGGGCAGGCGGAAUUCCUGGUGUAGCGGUGAAAUGCGUAGAUAUCAGGAGGAACACCGGUGGCGAAGGCGGCCUGCUGGACUGCAACUGACGUUGAGGCCCGAAAGCGUGGGGAGCAAACAGG
This 253-nucleotide ribosomal RNA is filed under the name uncultured bacterium. RNAcentral describes it as "partial 16S ribosomal RNA". It matches the Rfam family "Bacterial small subunit ribosomal RNA", at positions 524 to 776 of the family's 1533-position model. The record is from RNAcentral.